RNAcentral lists this transfer RNA (86 nucleotides) under Caerostris extrusa. RNAcentral describes it as "tRNA-Sec". Lineage: Eukaryota; Metazoa; Arthropoda; Arachnida; Araneae; Araneidae. The record is from RNAcentral.
GUCCAGAUGAGCGCCAGUGAUUUGGUGUGGGUGCUUCAAACCCUCAACUGUUGCAGAUCAGAGUGGUUCGAAUCCACCUUUGGGCG